This 1483-nucleotide ribosomal RNA is filed under the name uncultured Bordetella sp. RNAcentral describes it as "partial 16S-23S ribosomal RNA intergenic spacer". It matches the Rfam family "Bacterial small subunit ribosomal RNA". The record is from RNAcentral. Lineage: Bacteria; Pseudomonadati; Pseudomonadota; Betaproteobacteria; Burkholderiales; Alcaligenaceae.
AGUUCGAUCCUAGCUCAGAUUGAACGCUGGCUGGAUGCUUUACACAUGCAAGUCGAACGGCAGCACGGACUUCGGUCUGGUGGCGAUGGCGAACGGUGAAGUAAUGUAUCGGAACGUGCCUAGCGGGGGAUAACUGCGCGAAAGCGUAGCUAAUACCGCAUACACCCUUCGGCGGGAACCUUCGGGCCUCAUACCAUUAGAGCGGCCGAUAUCGGAUUAGCUAGUUGGUGGGAGCUAACGGCUCACCAAGGCGACGAUCAGCAGCUGGUUUGAGGGACGACCAGCCACACUGGGACUGAGACACGGCCCGAACUCCUACGAGGAGGAGCCCAGCAGUGGAAAUUUUGGACAAUGGAAACCCUGAUCCAGCCAUCCCGCGUGUGCGAUGAAGGCCUUCAGGUUGUAAAGCACUUUUGGCAGGAAAGAAACGGCACGGGAUAAUACCCCGUGCAACUGACGGUACCUGCAGAAUAAGCACCGGCUAACUACGUGCCAGCAGCCGCGGGCAUGCCCGUAGGGUGCAAGCGUUAAUCGGAAUUACUGGGCGUAAAGCGUGCGCAGGCGGUUCGGAAGAAAGAUGUGAAAUCCCAGAGCUUAACUUUGGAACUGCGUACCCAACACCGGUAGAGUGUGUCAGAGGGAGGUGGAAUUCCGCCGUGUAGCAGUGAAAUGCGUAGAUAUGCGGAGGAGCACCGAUGGCGAAGGCAGCCUCCUGGGAUAACACUGACGCUCAUGCACAGCGUGGGGGAGCAAACAGGAUUAGAUACCCUGGUAGUCCACGCCCUAAACGAUGUCAACCCAGCUGUUGGGGCCUUCGGGCCUUGGUAGCGCAGCUAACGCGUGAAGUUGACCGCCUGGGAAUUACGGUCGCAAGAUUAAAACUCAAAGGGGUGACGGGGACCCGCACAAGCGGUGGAUGAUGUGGAUUAAUUCGAUGCAACAUGAAAAACCUUACCUACCCUUGACAUGUCUGGAAUCCGAAGAGAUUUGGGAGUGCUCGCAAAGAGAACCGGAACACAGGUGCUGCAUGGCUGUCAUCAGCUCGUGUCGUGAGAUGUUGGGUUAAGUCCACAACGAACAACCCUUAAUCAUUAGUUGCUACGAAAGGGCACUCUAAUGAGACUGCCGGUGUUCAAACCGGAGGAAGGUGGGGAUGACGUCAAAGUCCUCGCCGGCCCUUAUGGGUAGGACUUCACACGUCAUACAAUGGUCGGGACAGAGGUCGCCAACCCGCGAGAGGAGCCAAUCCCAGAAACCCGAUCGUAGUCCGGAUCCGCAGUCUGCAACUCGACUGCGUGAAGUCGGAAUCGCUAGUAAUCGCGAGAUCAGCAUGUCGCGGUGAAUACGUUCCCGGGUCUUGUACCACACCGCCCGUCACACCAUGGGAGUGCUGGGUUUACCAGAAGUAGUAGCCUAACCGUAAAGGAGAGACACGAUUACCACGGUAGAGUUCAUGACUGAGAUUGAAAUCGUAACAAGGUAA